Long non-coding RNA from Herpailurus yagouaroundi (jaguarundi), 1581 nucleotides. RefSeq lists it as uncharacterized. Lineage: Eukaryota; Metazoa; Chordata; Mammalia; Carnivora; Felidae. The transcript is spliced from 2 exons. The record is from RefSeq and is a predicted model, not a curated record.
CUCCUCAGGCUUCUUCCCUAGGUCCUGAUCCCCCUUCCCCAUCCUUUCCAGUCUGUCCCACGGAGGGUCAGAGCGAGAGCCGUCCUCAGAGCAGCCAGCGGGCACCUGUCAGCAUUCCUCUAAAUGUGGACACCUUGCGCCCAAAUAAUCUAGAGAUGGUUUCUGUGGGGUUUCCCACCCAGGUGUUGCUCACUUAGCCCACUCCCUUCCCAGAAGCUGUAGGUCUCUCUGUACAUCCUUUCAUAGCCCUUGACCCCAUCCACCUCUUACAGGGCCCAAUAGUCAUCCUGGGAGUUGGGAACCUCCCAGAGGGAUCCCUGAGGCUCCAGAGGGUAUGAAGGGAGGUGUGUCACCUGCUCUUUAUUCCAGUCAAUCCGUUGCUUCCUGUGGCCAUAGAUGGCAGAGACAGAGACAAGCAGCAGCAGCUUGGGGCCCAGGAAGAGAGCCACCAGGAGUGGAGUGGACAGUUCUCGAUCUGGAAAUGAAGGGACAGGAGGCAGCAUCAGAGAGGGAUCCAGGAGUCCACUCCCAGGGGCCUCGACUUACUCCAGCUGAGGGAACCUGCAUCCAUCUCUGCUCUGAAGCUCAUGAAUUUCCCCUGUGAGAGGCUUGAGGCAGAAUUCAGGAUAAGAAGUACCUCAUCUUGCUCACCUCUGCUCAGGCUACUGGGUGUCCUUCCUGAGGGAAGGGCUGGAGACAUGAGCACUCAGUAACAUGUAAGUGAGGUUUGCUGACUUGUUCCCCACACCCAAUGGGGCAGGUCUGACACUCUCUUCUGAGGAGGGAACAGGCUCAUAGUUUACUGAGGGUCACAAGAUGAGUGGGACUCUGCUGUCCUUAGGAUGAAUCUGAGACCUUGUGUUUGGACUAGGACAGUCCAACCUCUCAGGGUCAUAGGAACGAAUGUCAGCCUGGCCUCAAGUAGAGGAAGGACAGUGUCAAGGUGAGCAGGGUGCAAGUCUGCCCUUCCUUGUUCCACACGCGAGCCUCGAUGACCCCAUGUUCUUGUGCUGAGGGAGCCCUCGGGGUGGCCUGACCUCACAAGACCUGCUGGCUGGAGAACACCCUGGUUAGGAAAGGAAAUGGGGUCUAAACCUGGGAGGGGCUUCAAACAGCAUCCCGCGCCCCUGGACCCCCGUACCAACAUCAGGUAAUAACAUCGUUCUUUUGCACGUAGAUCAUUGGGUCUGCAUGCAUAACUUCAGAUUCUUUGCCUUUUUACAGUGACUGGAUUUUGCUCUUAGAUUUACAUCAAGAAAUUCAAAUACGUUUUUGAAAUAUAUGGAAUAAUCUUAGAGGAAGGAGCAAAGACCCACCAUUUUUACCCCUGGUGUGUCGGGGGACGGCAGGUCUCAGCUGGGCGGCCCUCUGGAAUUUUUUCUCAGUUGAAAAAGCUGCAUUGCCCAUGUUUGCACCUGCUGCAGAGGGCAGCGUGCAGCAGAGGACUGGAGGAAGUUGGGGUACAGAGGUUUUGCCCCUCCGCUCCAUUUAAAACAAGUCAAAAAUAGCAUCCAGUUCGCCUGUUCUCUGUGCAAGUAUGACUUUUCUGUGCUGCAUUGUGUUCAAUAUCUCCUUUUGCCA